UACGGAGGGGGCUAGCGUUGUUCGGAAUUACUGGGCGUAAAGCGCACGUAGGCGGCUUUGUAAGUUAGAGGUGAAAGCCCAGGGCUUAACCCUGGAAUUGCCUUUAAGACUGCAUCGCUCGAAUUGGGGAGAGGUGAGUGGAAUUCCGAGUGUAGAGGUGAAAUUCGUAGAUAUUCGGAAGAACACCAGUGGCGAAGGCGACUCACUGGACACAUAUUGACGCUGAGGUGCGAAAGCGUGGGGAGCAAACAGG
This 253-nucleotide ribosomal RNA is filed under the name uncultured bacterium. Its description in RNAcentral is "partial 16S ribosomal RNA". It matches the Rfam family "Bacterial small subunit ribosomal RNA", at positions 524 to 776 of the family's 1533-position model. The record is from RNAcentral.